GGACGAACGCUGGCGGCGUGCCUAACACAUGCAAGUCGAGCGAUGAAGUUUCUUCGGGAACGGAUUAGCGGCGGACGGGUGAGUAACACGUGGGCAACCUGCCUUAUAGAGGGGAAUAGCCUUCCGAAAGGAAGAUUAAUACCGCAUAAGAUUGUAGCUUCGCAUGAAGUAGCAAUUAAAGGAGCAAUCCGCUAUAAGAUGGGCCCGCGGCGCAUUAGCUAGUUGGUGAGGUAACGGCUCACCAAGGCGACGAUGCGUAGCCGACCUGAGAGGGUGAUCGGCCACAUUGGGACUGAGACACGGCCCAGACUCCUACGGGAGGCAGCAGUGGGGAAUAUUGCACAAUGGGGGAAACCCUGAUGCAGCAACGCCGCGUGAGUGAUGACGGCCUUCGGGUUGUAAAGCUCUGUCUUUGGGGACGAUAAUGACGGUACCUGAGGAGGAAGCCACGGCUA
Molecule: ribosomal RNA, 455 nt
Filed under: uncultured Clostridium sp.
Lineage: Bacteria; Bacillati; Bacillota; Clostridia; Eubacteriales; Clostridiaceae
Description: bacterial SSU rRNA
Rfam family: Bacterial small subunit ribosomal RNA
Source: RNAcentral